This 435-nucleotide ribosomal RNA is filed under the name uncultured bacterium. RNAcentral describes it as "partial 16S ribosomal RNA". It matches the Rfam family "Bacterial small subunit ribosomal RNA", at positions 29 to 507 of the family's 1533-position model. The record is from RNAcentral.
AACGAACGCUGGCGGCAGGCUUAACACAUGCAAGUCGAACGCAUGCCUUCGGGCAUGAGUGGCAGACGGGUGCGUAACGCGUGGGAACCUAACCCUUGGUACGGGAUAGCUCCGGGAAACUGGAGAUAAUACCGUAUGUGUCCUGAGGGACAAAGAUUCAUCGCCAAGGGAUGGGCCCGCGUCGGAUUAGCUAGUUGGUGGGGUAACGGCCUACCAAGGCGACGAUCCGUAGCUGGUCUAAGAGGAUGAUCAGCCACAUUGGGACUGAGACACGGCCCAAACUCCUACGGGAGGCAGCAGUGGGGAAUAUUGGACAAUGGGCGCAAGCCUGAUCCAGCCAUGCCGCGUGAGUGAUGAAGGCCCUAGGGUUGUAAAGCUCUUUCACCGGUGACGAUAAUGACGGUAACCGGAGAAGAAGCCCCGGCUAACUUCGUG